This is a long non-coding RNA of Gavialis gangeticus (Gharial), 624 nucleotides long. RefSeq lists it as uncharacterized. Lineage: Eukaryota; Metazoa; Chordata; Crocodylia; Gavialidae. The record is from RefSeq and is a predicted model, not a curated record. The transcript has 2 exons.
GCGCUGAUUGGCCGCGCGGCCGGGGCCGCUGACGGGGCGAUUCUGCGGGGACGGGCGGGCGGCCCGAGCCUCGUCGCGCCGGGGACGAGGACGGAGCGAGGCGGACACGCGCCCGAGCGACCCCGGGGCAGAGCUGCACGUGCGGAGCCUGGGCAAAGGUGGCCGCUCCUUGCCUGGGCCAGCCUCGGCCCGUCGCAGAGCGGAGGAGUCGUGGCCGCGGUGGCGGGAAGGAGGCAGCUCUUAUGUGCCCUGUUGGCUGGAAAAGCCCUGUUGAAGGACUGUUGGAUGAAGCCUUAAGGGCCACUGCUCCUGCUGGCCACACCCCGCGUUGGCCCCCAUGCUAGUGUGGGGUGGCACCUGCCAUGGUGCCAAGGCCACCUUAUCUACAAAUAUAAGCUGAACAGAAAUCCUACAGUUGUUCAAAGAUGCUUAAGUCUGGACGAGUCAGACACCUCUAGAAGAUCCCGGAGGGGCAAGGGGAGAAAUGAUAGCUCCUGGAAGAGCUGGAAAUAUGACAGAUGGCAGAGCCUGGGCUGGGCAGUCAGGACCAGAGAAAACUGAAGCUAGAAAAAAAGCAGUGGAUGGACUGACUGACCCUCUUAUGCUACAGAGCUAGAAACUUUG